UACGAAGGGGGCUAGCGUUGUUCGGAAUUACUGGGCGUAAAGCGCACGUAGGCGGAUAUUUAAGUCAGGGGUGAAAUCCCGGGGCUCAACCCCGGAACUGCCUUUGAUACUGGGUAUCUCGAGUCCGAGAGAGGUGAGUGGAAUUCCGAGUGUAGAGGUGAAAUUCGUAGAUAUUCGCAAGAACACCAGUGGCGAAGGCGGCUCACUGGCCCGAUACUGACGCUGAGGCACGAAAGCGUGGGGAGCAAACAGG
Molecule: ribosomal RNA, 253 nt
Filed under: uncultured bacterium
Lineage: Bacteria
Description: partial 16S ribosomal RNA
Rfam family: Bacterial small subunit ribosomal RNA
Source: RNAcentral